Long non-coding RNA from Meriones unguiculatus (Mongolian gerbil), 2728 nucleotides. RefSeq lists it as uncharacterized. The transcript has 3 exons. The record is from RefSeq and is a predicted model, not a curated record. NCBI's taxonomy places the organism in Eukaryota, Metazoa, Chordata, Mammalia, Rodentia, Muridae.
CUGCCCUAAAGGGGGGUCGAGGUCUUUUUCAGAUUAGGACCUUACAGGGUGUGUGUGUGUACCUGUUGGUGCUUGGAACUGAACAGGCACCUGGUAAGCAGGCAUCCCUCUCCUGCCGGGGCCUUCCUUUGUUCUGCUUCAGUCUGGUUGACCGUAGCUUUGUGUUGGUUAGCUGGAACCAAAGGUGGCCAUGCGGCCAGAGGCAGUAGCCAACCCCACCCCUUAACUCUACCCAGGAUAGGAGAAAUCCGGUCCCUGCCCGACUUAGGGGAGAUAAGAGGUGGACAGCACAAGCUUUGGGAAAGUUACAAGGCUAGCGCUGACUCAAAUUCUCCCUCCUUGCAUGUCCCCAGCAACUCAGAAACAAGGGCUAGUUCCCAAGCCAAGAAGCCUUCCAGGAAGGGGAGCAUCCCUUUGCCAGUUGGAAUGGCCAUUCUUGGCAGCUUCCUGGGAGACGGGGCAGGGUGGUUAGGAGGGUGGCAAAGUGUGUUCCCGUUGGCAUAGCACUAGGUUCCCUUGACCCUCGUCCCUAAGGGUCCUACUCACUGCUGGAGUGACCCUUGUUCCGUGAGCAUCUGUCUGCUCAGUGAGAGCCUUUGACCUGGCCGUGACAGACAGCAAGCACAGUUCCUGUUCCAGGAAUGCAGAUGGUUGGGAGAUGGAGAUGCCGAGCCAAAAAUUUCAACACGACGGUGUGUUACACAAUAAGGACAAGUGUGUGGCUCUCUCUGGGAAGCACAAAGAUGGUCCGUCUACCCAGCUGGGGACUGGAGGGACAGCUAAACCGGAGGCCUAAGUAGGGGUGGACCCCAUUGCCUGUGUGCUGCCGAGACAGGGAAAACGGUGGCCGAUGGCGUGGCGUGCAGGGAUGGAACGCUUCCUCCAACACUAACACGCCUGGGGUUGACCAGUUAUCCACAACCUCUGGGAAGUUGGUACAGUGUGCUGGAAUUCUCAGACCUUGGCUCCCCUCUCGUCUUCGGACACGAGACACCAGAAUAUCCCUUCUACCCAGCACAGUAGUCAGAUGCUCAGCCCCCUGCAUUUUGAAAGGUUCCACUCAGAAGGAAAGAACUUGGCCCAGUUGUCACACUCAGUUUCCCCGUGAGCUACCUUCUGCAUCUCCUGACUCGCAGGAGAAAUAGAGCUACGUCAGAAAAUCAUAGGGAACCUUUGGAUACGGUGGCAUGGUGAUUUCCUCCAAUUGAAACAUUCCUUCCUGGAGGGAGGAAGGAGGUCCUAGACACAGGAAAGUCACAAGCCUCCCAAGUUUGAGAAUGCUGAAACUCACAAGCUUCCUAAGGCCAUUCCCUAAGGUUAUAGAAGCGAAACGAAAUGCCAGGGAGAGGAGGGUCUCCUCCCGUCGGUAAGAGGAGAGGCUGACCUGGCAGCUGACAGCAGUGCAGGGAGAAGCCGGGAAGCCACGCUCAUGAGGCCUGACCCAUGCUGGAUGGACUUUGAGCCGCCCGUGUUCCUGUAACCCCUAACCUAUAUUCUCGCAAGUAACUUCAGUGAGCUCACGGGCUCACCAAGCUGGACUUUGUGGGCUCUUUAACCCAUCCCCAGUACCCUAUGUGGCGACGGGGGCCCAGUUCUGGUGGAUUUAUCUUGUUUUCCAGUUACAGCUCUCUCUGCCAGACAGGCCCGUUCUUCUCAGCACCAACGGGAUCUGAUUUUGGUUUUUAAUUUACACAUUCUAUUUAUUUAUUAUUAGUGGUUGUAUGUGUAUGUAUGGGUGUGCGUGGGUGGUCAGAGGACACCUUUUGAAGGAUGGCAUUUUCCUUUCACUGUGGGUUCUGGGGAUCAGACCCAGGUUUGUCACGUUUCCACGGUGAACUCUUUUAUCCCUGAGCCAUCUGAGUGUCCUUGGUUUUUCCAUUUAUUUAUUUUUAAUUAAUUAAUUAAUUUAAGGCAAGGUCUCACUGUGUAGCUCUGGCCUGGAAUUCACCGUGUAGACCGUGGUGGCCAUGAACUCGUAGCAAUCCUCUUACUUCAGCUUUCCAAGUGUUGAGGUUACAGAUCUGAGCCACCACACUGGCUGGUAGGAAAGCUUUGCUGUUUUGUGUGAGUCACGUGGCUCUGGCUGUCCUUUAAGAGUUUUUAGAAGCUGUUGAGAUGGGCUCUGUAGUACAUACCUUUAAUCCCAACAAUGAGGAGGCGAAGGAAGACAGAGCUGUGAGUUUGAAGCCAAUGUGGUCUGCAUAGUGACCAGGCCAGCUAAGGCUACCUACCCAGACCUUGCCUUAAAAACAAACAAACUUAUUAUGACAGCUUUAUUGAAAUAUAGUUGAUAUUUAAUAAAUGAUAUGUAUACAAUAAUAUAGACACUGUAUACUUUUAAUGUUUUAUCCAACUUUUGACACAAUAUAUCAUGAUCAUAUUCUUUCUCUCUAAUUCUUCACAAAUCCUCAUCUCCAUACCCACCAAAUUUCGUGUUCUCUGUCUCUCUCUAUCUUCUCCUAAAACAAAACAAAACAGGAAAAACAACAAUUAAAAAUGAAAACCAAAGCACACAAACUUUUUAAAAAAAAAUCAAUAAAGCAAAAUUACCAAAACAAAACAAAAUGUUGAUAAACAAAGUGACAGUCUAUUGGAAAAUAUUGAUUUUUUUUUUCUUUCCCAGCAACCAUCAACUGCAAGUAGAUUCUUAGUUAGGAAUGGAACUUUGUGUCUACUUCCCUUUCUCAGCGCUGGCAUUUUUAUCUCGCGUAAACCAGUGUGGGACUUG